GGGAGUAUCGACCCUCUCUGUGCCGAAGCUAACGCUUUAAGUACCCCGCCUGGGGAGUACGGUCGCAAGACUAAAACUCAAAGGAAUUGACGGGGGCCCGCACAAGCAGCGGAGCGUGUGGUUUAAUUCGACGCUACACGAAGAACCUCACCAAGGCUUGACAUGUUAGAAGUAGUGAACCGAAAGGGAAACG
RNAcentral lists this ribosomal RNA (193 nucleotides) under uncultured bacterium. Its description in RNAcentral is "partial 16S ribosomal RNA". It matches the Rfam family "Bacterial small subunit ribosomal RNA", at positions 825 to 1014 of the family's 1533-position model. The record is from RNAcentral.